This 75-nucleotide small RNA is filed under the name Burkholderiaceae bacterium 16. RNAcentral's name for it is "sX9". It matches the Rfam family "Xanthomonas sRNA sX9". Lineage: Bacteria; Pseudomonadati; Pseudomonadota; Betaproteobacteria; Burkholderiales; Burkholderiaceae. The record is from RNAcentral.
ACGUACCAAUGUACGUUCCGGUUCCUGCGCUGCGGGCGGCACCACCUGACGGCCGCUCGCUACGCCCUGAAAGCG